GGACGAGAAGCUUGCUUCUCUGAUGUUAGCGGCGGACGGGUGAGUAACACGUGGAUAACCUACCUAUAAGACUGGGAUAACUUCGGGAAACCGGAGCUAAUACCGGAUAAUAUUUUGAACUGCAUGGUUCAAAAGUGAAAGACGGUCUUGCUGUCACUUAUAGAUGGAUCCGCGCUGCAUUAGCUAGUUGGUAAGGUAACGGCUUACCAAGGCAACGAUGCAUAGCCGACCUGAGAGGGUGAUCGGCCACACUGGAACUGAGACACGGUCCAGACUCCUACGGGAGGCAGCAGUAGGGAAUCUUCCGCAAUGGGCGAAAGCCUGACGGAGCAACGCCGCGUGAGUGAUGAAGGUCUUCGGAUCGUAAAACUCUGUUAUUAGGGAAGAACAUAUGUGUAAGUAACUGUGCACAUCUUGACGGUACCUAAUCAGAAAGCCACGGCUAACUACGUGCCAGCAGCCGCGGUAAUACGUAGGUGGCAAGCGUUAUCCGGAAUUAUUGGGCGUAAAGCGCGCGUAGGCGGUUUUUUAAGUCUGAUGUGAAAGCCCACGGCUCAACCGUGGAGGGUCAUUGGAAACUGGAAAACUUGAGUGCAGAAGAGGAAAGUGGAAUUCCAUGUGUAGCGGUGAAAUGCGCAGAGAUAUGGAGGAACACCAGUGGCGAAGGCGACUUUCUGGUCUGUAACUGACGCUGAUGUGCGAAAGCGUGGGGAUCAAACAGGAUUAGAUACCCUGGUAGUCCACGCCGUAAACGAUGAGUGCUAAGUGUUAGGGGGUUUCCGCCCCUUAGUGCUGCAGCUAACGCAUUAAGCACUCCGCCUGGGGAGUACGACCGCAAGGUUGAAACUCAAAGGAAUUGACGGGGACCCGCACAAGCGGUGGA
RNAcentral lists this ribosomal RNA (883 nucleotides) under uncultured Staphylococcus sp. Its description in RNAcentral is "bacterial SSU rRNA". It matches the Rfam family "Bacterial small subunit ribosomal RNA", at positions 69 to 936 of the family's 1533-position model. Lineage: Bacteria; Bacillati; Bacillota; Bacilli; Caryophanales; Staphylococcaceae. The record is from RNAcentral.